Molecule: long non-coding RNA, 236 nt
Filed under: Spirodela polyrhiza (greater duckweed)
Lineage: Eukaryota; Viridiplantae; Streptophyta; Magnoliopsida; Alismatales; Araceae
Description: long non-coding RNA (SPOL_LNC000011)
Source: RNAcentral
GAUACAGUCGAUCUCGGGGUCGUCGUGCCUAUCUCGCCGCAGGAACAAGAACGAGAGUAAUCGCGCUUCUUCUUGGGAGGCUUUCCGUUUCUUUCAUUUACGUCCUGGACGAACAGUCGGAGAGCUCUAGUGUCGGAGUGCGAGCGCAGGAAGAAGGGGGAAUAUCAGUCGGUAGAGGGUGCUCAAUCAACGGUGUAACCUGCGCUACGUGGGGUCUGUUCCGCAGAAUAUUUUUC